AAGAAAACCCCUUGGCGGUUUAAUACCCCGUGGAGGGAAGGGACAUUCACCCCACAGGAAGAAAGCCUCCGGUCUUAACUUCGGUUUCCAGCAGACCGCCGAUAAAUACGGAAGGGGUGCGAGCCGUUAAUUCGGAAAUUACUGGGGCGUAAAAGCCGCGCGUAGGUUGCCUUGAUAACCCCGGUUUGGAAAAGCCCCGGGGCUCAACCCGGGGAAACGGCAUCCGGGAACUUUUCAGGUCUAGAGUUCCAGGAGAGGAAAGGUAGAAUUCCCCGGUGUAGCGGUGAAAUGCGUAGAGAUCGGGAGGAAUACCAGUGGCGAAGGCGGCCUUCUGGACUGACACUGACACUGAGGUGCGAAAGCGUGGGUAGCAAACAGGAUUAGAUACCCUGGUAGUCCACGCCGUAAACGAUGUCGACUAGCCGUUGGGUCCUUCGCGGACUUUGUGGCGCAGUUAACGCGAUAAGUCGACCGCCUGGGGAGUACGGCCGCAAGGUUAAAACUCAAAUGAAUUGACGGGGGCCCGCACAAGCGGUGGAGCAUGUGGUUUAAUUCGAUGCAACGCGAAGAACCUUACCUACCCUUGACAUCCUGCGAACCCUUCGGAGACGAAGGGGUGCCUUCGGGAACGCAGAGACAGGUGCUGCAUGGCUGUCGUCAGCUCGUGUUGUGAAAUGUUGGGUUAAGUCCCGUAACGAGCGCAACCCUUGUCCCUAUUUGCCAGCGAUUCGGUCGGGAACUCUAGGGAGACUGCCGGUGACAAACCGGAGGAAGGUGGGGACGACGUCAAGUCAUCAUGGCCCUUACGGGUAGGGCUACACACGUGCUACAAUGGUCGGUACAAAGGGUUGCGAACUUGCGAAAGUGAGCUAAUCCCAGAAAGCUGAUCUCAGUCCGGAUCGGAGUCUGCAACUCGACUCCGUGAAGUCGGAAUCGCUAGUAAUCGUGAAUCAGAAUGUCACGGUGAAUACGUUCCCGGGCCUUGUACACACCGCCCGUCACACCAUGGGAUGUGGACUGCACCA
RNAcentral lists this ribosomal RNA (1025 nucleotides) under Billgrantia kenyensis. RNAcentral's name for it is "bacterial SSU rRNA". It matches the Rfam family "Bacterial small subunit ribosomal RNA". Lineage: Bacteria; Pseudomonadati; Pseudomonadota; Gammaproteobacteria; Oceanospirillales; Halomonadaceae. The record is from RNAcentral.